UGGGGAAUUUUGCACAAUGGGGGAAACCCUGAUGCAGCGACGCCGCGUGAUUUAGAAGGCCUUCGGGUUGUAAAAAUCUUUUCUAUGGGAAGACAAUGACAGUACCAUAGGAAUAAGGACCGGCUAAUUACGUGCCAGCAGCCGCGGUAAUACGUAAGGUCCGAGCGUUGUCCGGAAUCAUUGGGCGUAAAGGGUACGUAGGCGGGUAAGCAAGUUAGAAGUGAAAUCCUAUAGCUCAACUAUAGUAAGCUUUUAAAACUGCUCAUCUUGAGGUAUGGAAGGGAAAGUGGAAUUCCUAGUGUAGCGGUGAAAUGCGCAGAUAUUAGGAGGAAUACCGGUGGCGAAGGCGACUUUCUGGCCAUAACCUGACGCUGAGGUACGAAAGCGUGGGUAGCAAACAGG
This 402-nucleotide ribosomal RNA is filed under the name bacterium. Its description in RNAcentral is "partial 16S ribosomal RNA". It matches the Rfam family "Bacterial small subunit ribosomal RNA", at positions 355 to 776 of the family's 1533-position model. The record is from RNAcentral.